This 453-nucleotide ribosomal RNA is filed under the name uncultured Prevotella sp. RNAcentral's name for it is "partial 16S ribosomal RNA". It matches the Rfam family "Bacterial small subunit ribosomal RNA", at positions 342 to 792 of the family's 1533-position model. The record is from RNAcentral. Lineage: Bacteria; Pseudomonadati; Bacteroidota; Bacteroidia; Bacteroidales; Prevotellaceae.
CGGAAGGCAGCAGUGAGGAAUAUUGGUCAAUGGACGAGAGUCUGAACCAGCCAAGUAGCGUGCAGGAUGACAGCCCUAUGGGUUGUAAACUGCUUUUGUACGGGAAUAAAGUGACCUACAUGUAGGUUUUUGCAUGUACCGUAAGAAUAAGGACCGGCUAAUUCCGUGCCAGCAGCCGCGGUAAUACGGAAGGUCCGGGCGUUAUCCGGAUUUAUUGGGUUUAAAGGGAGCGUAGGCCGUGCUUUAAGCGUGUUGUGAAAUGUAGGCGCCCAACGUCUGCACUGCAGCGCGAACUGGAGCACUUGAGUACGCAGGAAGUAGGCGGAAUUCGUCGUGUAGCGGUGAAAUGCUUAGAUAUGACGAAGAACUCCGAUUGGGAAGCCAGCUUACUGUAGCGCCACUGACGCUGAUGCUCGAAAGCGUGGGUAUCGAACAGGAUUAGAUACCCUGGUA